CCCUAGUGUAAAUAAGGUUAUCUGACUUAAUCCAUCUGGCAAGAAAGAAGGUUGCACUUUAGGGCUAUAGAGAUUUCUUCCUCUUAGGGCUAAUUCUCUCCCUGGGAGGGUUCUAGAUACGACAUAGCCUUAGGUCUAAGGUCUAAGAUGCUCUUGAAGAUUAAUAUAAAAUGCUUUAUUUUUCUUAUAUGCUUUCCCCUGUA
This 203-nucleotide long non-coding RNA is filed under the name Elaeis guineensis (African oil palm). RNAcentral describes it as "long non-coding RNA (EGUI_LNC074630)". The record is from RNAcentral. Lineage: Eukaryota; Viridiplantae; Streptophyta; Magnoliopsida; Arecales; Arecaceae.